CCUUUCCUUUUUCUUUUUUUCAAAUCCGAGCUUCGAGCUCCAUCUCCACGCACCGUGAGCUUCGAGCUCGAUCGAUCUCCAUCUCUGAGCUCUUCAUCUCUCUCUCUCUUUCUCUCUCUCUCUCCCUCUCUCUCUCCAUCAUCUACUCCCUCCGAUUCGAUCAGAUCCGAUCCAAACCCUAAUAUCCACCUCCUCUAAUCCCUCCGAUCUGAUCGAAUCCAAGCCCUAAUUCUCAGAUCCUAUCCAUGGCGUCCCUCUCCUCCCUUCCGCCGCUCCCCUCCGCGCGGCGGCGCUCCGCCGCUCUAGCCGCCCCGCCCCGAUCGCCGCCACGGCGAAUCCGUUGCCGUCGCCGUCGCCGGAGCCGAGGAGGCGAUCUUCGUGUGGUCGCCGCUGUUUCGGCCGAUCGUCGGCGACGUGGCCGGAGGAGGCGGCGGUGCUGCGGCGACGGCGCUGCGGCGGCGGCGGAGGAGGUGGCGGCGGAGGAGGUGGCGGCGGAGAGGGAGAGGGGGAGGUUGACGGCGGAGAAGGCGAGGGUUCUGAGGAGUGAGACGGGUGCUGCUCUUCCGCGUCGGCCGCGCCACGUGGCACUGGCUCCUACGCUGCCCGCUCCUCCGCGAUAAGUGGAGCUGCGGCUUCCGCUGGUUCUCCUUUGCCCCCGACCUCUACGCCCUCGUUUAAGGGGGCCAUGAGCUUAGCCUUACGACUGGAAAUGCUGGUGGACGAUUGGCCUGUGAUAGCCGCAGCACGCGGGAUAGACGCCCAAAAUCAUUAAAAUGGAUCUGGAGCAUCGUGGUAACGGGAAUAAACUCCGAACAGACGGAUCGCGGAUUGGUGGCCGUUCGGGUGGUCGCACAGAGUUCGGGCCAAACCGGGUCACGGGUGCCGCGGAGGCCGAUUGCAAGUGACUACAAGCGAUCGGAACGCGAGUUAAGGUGGGUUGUGCUUACCGAAGCGACUAGGUCGCCUUUAUGUCUAAGCAAAUUAAGAAUUCAUGUUGAUGCAUAUGAAUGUAAAUGAAGCAUGAAAAUGAUGCAUGUUAAUGUAAAUGCCAAGUAGAAAUGCGUAAUGAUAUGAUGCAAGUUACAUAAUGCUAAAUGAAUGUAUGAGUUAAUUGUUA
Molecule: long non-coding RNA, 1117 nt
Organism: Ananas comosus (pineapple)
Lineage: Eukaryota; Viridiplantae; Streptophyta; Magnoliopsida; Poales; Bromeliaceae
Exons: 3
Source: RefSeq, a predicted model, not a curated record